RNAcentral lists this ribosomal RNA (158 nucleotides) under Fusarium sp. KC-2010ba. Its description in RNAcentral is "5.8S ribosomal RNA". It matches the Rfam family "5.8S ribosomal RNA". Rfam says of the family: 5.8S ribosomal RNA (5.8S rRNA) is a component of the large subunit of the eukaryotic ribosome. It is transcribed by RNA polymerase I as part of the 45S precursor that also contains 18S and 28S rRNA. The record is from RNAcentral. Lineage: Eukaryota; Fungi; Ascomycota; Sordariomycetes; Hypocreales; Nectriaceae.
UUCAACAACGGAUCUCUUGGCUCUGGCAUCGAUGAAGAACGCAGCGAAAUGCGAUAAGUAAUGUGAAUUGCAGAAUUCAGUGAAUCAUCGAAUCUUUGAACGCACAUUGCGCCCGCCAGUAUUCUGGCGGGCAUGCCUGUUCGAGCGUCAUUACAACC